AGAUAUCUUAGUCUUUUCAAAGUUGCAAGCUCCGGAGACAAUUCUCUUAGAUCUGUAUUUAACAAAUUGAGAUAUUGCAAUGUAACUAAUUUACCAAUUCCAGUAGGUAAUUUAGUUAUUCUAGCAUUUGACAAAUCCAGAACUUUUAUAACCGGCGUGAAAUGAAAGAAUCCACUCGGAAAUGUUCCCAGGCCUCUACUCCUAACAAUUAAAGUCAAGAGAUUGGGAAAAGAUGGUGGUAUAGUGAGUUCUUCCAAACUACUUGUCGACAGGUAUAUCCGUUGUGCCUCUUUCGCCUUUGAAACUUGGUGAACUUCCAUAGUAUCAACUUCUUCUACCAAGAUUAUGUUCUUAUUGCCCCUAUAUUCUGAAGCUAACCAUAAAGCCAUAUCACGAAUGACAUCAUGCAUUUUAACCCUAUCAAAUUCAGCAUUCUCGAAUAGACAUACUGUCUUUAGAUGCUCAAUGAUGUGGUGCCCAUGGUUUAAUGCUUCAUCUAUGCUAACAAAUCCAUCCAAAAACCCUUCUCCAAUCCAAAGGAAUAUAAGAUCCUCAUCCCAAAUUUCAUGGUCCUCUGGGAAUAUAGCAAGAUAUAAAAAACAAGUCUUGAUGGUGUCAUUUGGCAAGUUAUCGUAACUGAAUUUGAGGACCGGAAAUACAUGAGCUCCCAUACCUGAAAACUUUGAUGGAUAAGUCUUCAACAUUUGGAUUGCUCGCUCCCAUUCUUGUGGAGUCUUCUUGUCAGCCAUAGCUCGCCCAAUAGUGACGAUUGCAAGUGGUAAGCCUUGGCAUUCUUUAGCAGCAAUUUCAGCAAGUUGGGGUAUAUCCGAAUGUGAAUUUAGAGUAGUCUCUCCAACCUUCUUCUUGAACAAAUUAAUAGCCUCAUCUUCUGUCAAACACUCCACCUUAAGGCUUUUUUGAGCUUCCAUAUCCCGACAAACAUCCAGAGAACGGGUUGUUAAUAUUACUUAGGACUUGUUUUGGGAAUUAGGAGAAGGAACCCCCACUUUUUGGAGAUCAAGCCGCUCCCAUACAUCAUCUAGCAGCAUCACAAAUCUUUUUGCCUUCAAGACAUUGAAAAUUUCUACUGCUUUUUCAUCCUCGGUUCUGUUUCUCCAUCUGUCUUCAGGAAUGUCUAACUUGUUGUGAAUGACUUCUUGUACUUUUUCCAUACUUGCUGGCCUGGAUACUACUACCCAAAUGGCGAUUUCAAAGAUCUUGCUCACUCUGAUGAACUCAUUAUUGACUUUGGUCAUGAGGGUAGUUUUCCCGGCACCCCCCAUUCCGUACAACCCAAUAAUUCCCAGCUCCUCGUCUUGGAUGCAUCUGCAAACCUCUGUAAACAUCAUAUCUAAGCCCACAGUCUUCUCCAUCGGCCUCUCAUCCACCGGAGCUUGAGGUAACUUAUCAGCCACAACAUCAAAGCGUCCCUUGUUCCUUAAUUCAGUCACAGCACCCAGCUUUUUACUCGCUUUCUUCCCAACCUUGUAGCUGGACCAGCAGUUUCUGGGACAACAAGUUCUAGGGCAUUUCUUCUGGAUUUCCUGAUCGCCUUUCUCCAGGAUCUCGUUGACUUCUAGUUCCAUGGCUAGUACGCUAUGGAGCCAGCCGUCCACUUCAUUUGUGCGCUUCAUUUGCCGUUGAUCUUCAAGUUCAACUCUUCCCUUCACAUCCUGGUAUGCGCUCUUCAGCUCCUGCGUUGCGUUUCUUAACGAGUCCAUAUUUUCCUGCAGAUCCCUGAUGUAGACUGCAUGCUUGGCUGUGCAGUUCCAUACGCGAGUGACAACAUCCAAGAUUGGGCUCACACAAUCCAUUCCUUGUCUUGAGAGAUGAAAUUCAACGAAAAAACAGAAAAUGGAGGGAUGGGUUUUGUGGGAGAGCAGCAGACUUUUUUUUUUUUUUUUGUGUCAAAACAGUUCUCUCUCUCAAUGAGGAGACUUCUAUGGUUCCAUGCACGCGGUAGGUACCGAAGCGUGAAUUCCCACCGUUGGAUAAGUAAAUCCAAUCAAGACCGUCUAUUUGAUUUUACAAAGGGAGGAAUCGUGACAGAAUAUAUAUCGUGAGAGGGACAGCAAUAAUAUUAGUAUUUAAUUUCUUAUUCAUCAAAGCUGAAUAAAAAGGGUUAAGAAAUUAAUGCAUGGAUACAUUUCUCAUUUUAAUUUUUAAAAACAAUUUUAUUUUUCAUUUUAUAAAAAGUAGGUACAUAGCUUGUGUAGUUGAAAAUAUUUUUUUUAAAUUUAAGAAAGUAAAAAUUUUUCACAUUUUAAAUUUUGAGAAAUUUUUUGAACAACAAAAUGGUAAAUAUUUUAUAUAAGAAUUAUUGGUUUUAAAAGUAAAGAAUAAAAAGUGUAUCUAAUGAAUGCUCUAAACCAAUCAAUACUUACAAUUUGGGGGUUUUUUUAUAGGAGAAAAACCAUAACAUAAAAAGUAAUUUUAAAAUUACAACAUUUUUUAAUUUCAAGUAGGCUUCGUCUUUUACACAGACGAAUUUAGUGUAAAAGUGAACUCGUCUUUCAAAAAAUAAGUUCAAUAUAAAUGAACUCAUUUUUUCAAAAAACGAAUUUAAUAUAAAAAGUUUUAAGGUAAAAACAGAAUUCGUGUUUUGAAAAAACGAAUUCGGUACAAAAAGUGAAUUUGUCUUUUAAAAAGAAAAAAAAAGAGUUUAGUGCAAAAAUAAAAGAAAUAAUGAAAAAUAUUAUAUUUGUAUAUUUAUUUUUUAAAUAAUUAUAUUUUAAAGAUAUAUUUUUUAAAGAAUAUUUUAAAAAUAAAUAAAAAUCACGUGGGUAGUCUUGGGUAUUGGCGCCACAAUCUGUCAUGGAACUAAAAAAGAAAUCUUUUUUGCUGUCCAAGACACAGAAAGAAGAAAAGAUAAUAGAAUAAGUGAUGAGUUGCUCGAGCGAUGGUUUGCCCAAAUUUCAAUCCACUAAAGGUUCCUUUUUAUAUGGCCAUUUGCAGAUUCAUUAAGUCUCUAUUUCAAAUUUAUUAUUUCUAAUUACGGAUUCUGCUUCAACUAUCAUAUUUAAUUAAUUAUUAAUUAUUAAUUAUUUGUUGGAGUUUUGGUCUCAAUAUCAAGUUUUAUGAAUACAUUUUUUAAAAGUAUAAAUAAAUUUAUUGAGAUGAGUAAUGCUUGAGGCAAGAAAAAAAAAUAUAUAUGAACAUGAACACCCAGGAGACAUUCGAAAACUUGUCCAGACAAGUAAAAAGAGAGAAAGACAAAAAAGAAAGAAGAAAAAACUAGAGAGUGCCUGAGAGAGCAUGGGAGAAGAGGGUAUUGAGGUGGGAGAAGGAGCUGGAGCAACUUCUCUACCAUCCUCUCGUUUCUUCACCAGAUAAUGAAGUAAGGAGUGAAAGUGUGCUGAAUGGUUUCAUUUUCCCACUUCAACCCCUCCCACCACUCUGAUUCCCCUAUAAUGGUCUUUAAACUGUUUCUUGCACUGUUUGAAUCUAAUGGCAACUUCCUUAGGUUUGGGCAUUCUUCCACUGAUAGGUACGUCAAGGAAGGAAAUGACAAGGCACGACCACUGAUACUCUUUAGAUUUGGUAGAUAAUUCAAGUUCAAACUUUUGAGUCUUGAGAAUAUGCCAAUGUUUUUUGAGAUUCCACUUGCAUCACCUAUCACUUCUUCCAUGGAUUCACAUGUGCUUGCUACAAGAAAUUCAAGUCUUGGGAUGUAAAUAAGCCAUGCCAAGUCCAACAACUUUGGAAGUUGAUAAACAAUUACCACGCGAAGGCUCUGAAAGUUUGAGUUUGGGAUUAGAUCAACUACAAACCCUUGCCCUGUUCCCUUCUUUUCUAGAUCUACUUUUAUCUCUUGCAAUUCUCCACAUCUAGAUAUUCCAAGGAGUUGUAGAUGUUUCAUUCUAGGCAAUUGGAGAAAGCUCAUAUCUUCCAAGUUCCCAAGGCCUAAACGCCUUAUAGCAUUUUGCAAUUUUUGAGAGCUUCGUAACUUUUGAAAGGACAGAGGACCUACGAUUGGAAAAGAUACCCAAUUUAAAUAUGUAUUCCAACCCUUCCAGAUCUUCUAAUAAUGCUUUAUUAUCCUCCCAUAAAUAAAUAGCUUUAGAAUUCUCCUCUGAAUAAUUGGGUUCCUCCUCCUUGGGUGAAUGAUUGCCUUUUUCUUCCUCCAGUAAAUGAUUAAGUCCCAUGCUAAAAUAUCUCAUUAUUAAGAGAUUCGAUAUCACUUCCUUGGAAAUUAUUUUGAGAUAUGACAUGCUAUGUAAUAGCAAAUAUCUUAUUCUUUUCAAAGUCUUAAGCUCAGCAGACAAUUCUCUUAGAUUUGUCCCUGACAAAUCGAGAUAUUGUAGUGUUACUAAUUUACCAAUUCCAACAGGUAAUUCAGUUAUUUGAGUAAAUGACAAAUCCAAAACUUUUAUAAAUGAAAUGGAAGAAUCCACUUGGAAAAGUCUCCAGGGUGUUCUCCUAACAAUUAAAGUCAAGAGAUUGGGAAAAGAUGGUGGUAUGAUGAGUUCUUUCAAGCUACUCAUCGACAAGGAUAUACAUUGUGCCUCUUUCCACUUUGAAACUUGGUGAGCUUCCAUGAUAUCAUUUUCUUCUACCAAAAUUUUGUUCUUGUUGCCACUAUAUACUGUAGCUAACCACAAAGCCAUAGCACGAAUAACAUCAUGCAUCUUGACUUGAUCAAAUCCAACGCUCUCCAAUAAACAUGUUGUCUUUAGAUGCUCAAUGAUAUCGUGCCCUUGGUUAUAUGCUUCAGCUAUGUUGUUGAAUUCAUCCAAAAACCCUUCUCCAAUCCAAAGAAAUAUAAGAUCAUCAUCUAUAAUUUCAUAGUCCUCUAGGAAUAUGGCAAGAUAUAAAAAACAAGCCCUGAUGGUGUCAUUUGGCAAGUUAUCAUAACUGAAUUUCAGGACCGGAAAUACAUGAUCUCCCAUACCUGAAAACUUUGAUGGAUAAGUCUUCAAUAUUUGUAUUGCUCGCUCCCAUUCUCGUGGUGUGUUCUUGCCGGUCAUAGCUCGCCCAAUUGUAACGAGUGCAAGUGGUAGACCUUUGCACUCUUUAGCAGAAAUUUCAGCGAGUUGUGGUAUAUCUGGAUGUGAAUUUAGAGUAGUCUCUCCAACCUUCUUCUUGAACAAAUUAAUAGCCUCCCCUUGUGUCAAACACUCCACCUUAAUACUUUUUUGAGCUUCCAUAUAUAUCACGACAAACAUCCAGAGAUCGGGUUGUUAAUAUUACUUCAGACUUGUUUUGGGAAUUAGGAGAAGGAACCCCCAACUUUUGGAGAUCAAGUCGUUCCCAUACAUCAUCUAACAACAACACAAACCUUUUCGCCUUCAAGACAUUGAAAAUUUCUACUGCUUUCUCGUCCUCACUUCUAUUUCUCCAUCUAUUAUCCGGGAUGUCUAAUUUGUUGCGAAUGACUUCCUGUACUUUUCCCACACUUGCGAGCCUGGACACUACAACCCAAAUGGUGAUUUCAAAGCCCUUGCUUGCUCUGAUGAAUUCAUUAUUCACUUUGGUCAUAAGGGUAGUUUUCCCGUCACCACCCAUACCAUACAACCCAAAUAAUUCCCAGUUGUUCAUAUUGGAUGCAUCUGCAAACCUCUGUAUAAUGUUGAGCUUUGUGGAGCCUAGUUUUAUUUGAUCCGAUUUGACGACCCGACCCGAAUAAUAUUGCAUGGCUUUUUAAUGGGAGAUUUACUGAGGCCUGUUGGGUCCAUUUAACCCAUUGUGGAACCAUCUUUUGUAAUUAGGGUUUUUUAGUGUGGUGUGGUUGCCGUGUUAUAUAUAGAGAGAAAAUAUUGUAGUCGUCGUGGUUGUACUUUGUAUUCUUCCCUGAUAAUAGUGAUAUCCCUGCAACUCUGUGAAUGUAGGCAUAUUGCCGAACCACGUAAUACUAUCUUAUGCGUGUGAUUGUUUUUCUUUGGCGUGUGUUUUUCUCUAUUUUUUGUUUCUCACAGGUUGGGAAUUCAGUUUAAUUCUCUACAACUGGUAUUAGAGCCUAGGGUUAGGUUUGAGUGGGAGCAAUGGCAGAGGAAGCAGGAAAGGCGUCUGGAAUAGAAAAGUUUGAUGGCACAGACUUUGCGUAUUGGAGGAUGCAAAUUGAAGAUUAUCUCUAUAGGAGGAAAUUGCAUCUACCUCUUUUGGGGACAAAACUUGAGAGUAUGAAGGCUAAGGAAUGGGCGCUUCUUGAUAGACAGGUUCUAGGAGUUAUUAGGUUAACUCUGUCUAGGUCUGUUGCACAUAAUGUUGUAAAGGAGAAGACCACAACAGAUUUGAUCAAGGCUUUGUCCGGUAUGUAUGAAAAGCCGUCCGUAAACAAUAAGGUGCAUCUAAUGAAGAAAUUGUUCCAUUUGAAGAUGGUAGAGAAUACAUCAGUAGCACAACAUCUGAAUGGAUUUAAUAUAAUCACAAAUCAAUUGUCGUCUGUAGAAAUUGAUUUUGAUGAUGAGAUUCGUGCUCUGAUCAUUUUGGCUUCUUUGCCAAACAGUUGGGAGGCAAUGAGGAUGGCAGUAAGCAAUUCUACGGGAAAGGAAAAGCUCAAGUACAAUGAUAUACGAGAUUUAAUUCUGGCUGAGGAGAUUCGCCGAAGAGAUGCAGGUGAAACCUCAGGAUCUAGUUCUGCCCUAAACCUUGAGACAAGAGGCAAAGGUAAUGAUAGAAAUUCAAAUCGGGGUAGAUCAAAUUCUAGAAAUUCUAAUCGGAACAGAAGCAAAUCUAGAUCAUGCCAACAAGUACAAUGCUGGAAUUGUGGGAAAAUAGGUCACUUUAGAAGGCAAUGCAAAAGUCCUAAGAAGAAGAAUGGAGAUGAUUCUGCUAAUGCUGUAACAGAAGAGGUACAAGAUGCAUUACUUAUUGCAAUAGAUAGUUCACUUGAUGAUUGGGUUUUGGAUGUAGGAGCUUCGUUUCAUACCACUCCACACCGAGAAAUCAUACAGAAUUAUGUUGCAGGUGAUUUUGGUAAGGUGCAUUUGGCUGAUGGUUCAGCCUUGGAUGUUGUGGGUCUGGGAGACGUUCGGAUAUCGUUGCCCAAUGAGUCUGUUUGGUUACUGGAGAAGUUUCGACAUAUUCCUGACCUGAGGAGGAAUCUGAUUUCUAUUGGACAACUUGAUGAAGGACAUGCAAUACUAUUUGUUGGUGGUACUUGGAAGGUUACAAAGGGAGCUAGGGUAUUGGCUCGUGGAAAGAAGACUGGUACUCUGUACAUAACCUCAUGUCCAAGAGACACAAUUGCAGUUGCUGAUACAAGUACUGAUACAAGCCUAUGGCACCGCAGACUUGGUCACAUGAGUGAGAAAGGGAUGAAGAUGUUGCUGUCAAAAGAAAAACUACUAGAAUUGAAGUCCAUUGAUUUUGACAUGUGUGAAAGUUGCAUCUUAGGAAAGCAAAAAAAGGUGAGCUUCUUGAAAACUGGCAGGACACCGAAGGCUGAAAAAUUGGAAUUAGUACACACUGAUUUGUGGGGGCCUUCUCCGGUUACAUCCCUAGGAGGUUCAAGGUACUACAUCACUUUUAUUGAUGACUCAAGUAGAAAGGUAUGGGUUUAUUUUCUGAAAAAUAAAUCUGAUGUAUUUGAAACUUUUAAGAAGUGGAAGGCCAUGGUUGAGACAGAAACAUGUUUGAAAGUAAAAUGUUUGAGGUCAGAUAAUGGAGGAGAGUACAUAGAUGGAAGGUUCAGUGAGUAUUGUGCUGCACAAGGAAUUAGGAUGGAGAAGACCAUUCCUAGGACACCACAACAAAAUGGUGUGGCUGAGCGCAUGAACAGAACUCUCAAUGAGCGUGCUAGAAAUAUGAGGUUGCAUGUUGGAUUACCAAAAACUUUUUGGGCUGAUGCUGUUAGCACUACAACUUACCUGAUAAACUGAGGACUAUUAGUUCUCAUGGAGUUCAGACUUCCUGAGGAGGUUUGGAGCGGUAAAGAGGUGAAGUUUUCACAUUUAAAAGUUUUUUGUUGUGUUUCUUAUGUUCAUAUUGAUUCUGAUGCUCGUAGUAAACUUGAUGCAAAGUCAAAAAUAUGUUUUUUCAUUGGCUAUGGUGAUGAGAAAUUUGGCUAUAGGUUUUGGGAUGAACAAAAUAGGAAAAUCAUCAGAAGUAGAAAUGUGAUAUUUAAUGAACACGUUAUGUACAAGGAUAGGUCAACUGUAGUGUCAGAUGUUACAAAAAUAAAUCAAAAGAAAUCUGAGUUUGUCAACUUAGAUGAAUUGACUGAAAGUACUGUCCAAAAAUGGGAUGAAGAAGAUAAGGAGAAUGUAAAUUCACAGGUAGAUCUAAGUACACCUGUAGCUGAAGUUCGCAGAUCUUCCAGGAACAUUAUACCUCCGCAACGUUAUUCACCUGUUUUAAAUUAUCUCCUGUUGACUGAUGGUGGUGAGCCAGAGUGUUAUGAUGAAGCCUUGCAAGAUGAGAAUUCAAGCAAAUUGGAGUUAGCCAUGAAGGAUGAGAUGGAUUCCUUAUUGGGGAAUCAGACAUGGGAACUGACUGAAUUGCCAGUAGGAAAGAAGGCUUUGCACAACAAGUGGGUAUACAGAAUAAAGAAUGAGCAUGAUGGUAGCAAGCAUUACAAGGCCAGAUUAGUUGUUAAAGGGUUCCAACAGAAGGAGAGCAUUGACUACACAGAGGUAUUUUCUCCAGUUGUGAAGAUGUCAACAAUUAGACUUGUACUUGGAAUGGUGGCUGCAGAAAACUUACAUCCUAAGCAGUUAGAUGUGAAGACAGCAUUCCUUCAUGGUGACUUAGAGGAAGACCUUUACAUGAUUCAGCCAGAAGGGUUCAUUGUUCAGGGACAAGAGAAUCUAGUCUGCAAACUAAGAAAGAGCUUGUAUGGCCUUAAACAAGCUCCUAGACAGUGAUACAAGAAGUUUGACAAUUUUAUGCAUAGAAUUGGGUUCAAGAAAUGUGAAGCUGAUCACUGUUGCUAUGUUAAGUCCUUUGACAAUUCUUACAUCAUAUUACUGUUGUAUGUGGAUGAUAUGUUUAUUGUAGGGUUUGACAUUGAGAAGAUUAAUAAUCUAAAGAAGCAAUUGUCCAAACAGUUUGCAAUGAAAGAUUUGGGAGCUGCAAAGCAAAUCCUUGAUAUGAGAAUCGUUAGAGACAAGACUAAUGGUACAUUGAAGCUUUCACAGUCAAAGUAUGUGAAGAAAGUUCUCAGCAGGUUCAACAUGAAUGAAGCUAAACCAGUGAGCACACCCUUGGGUAGUCAUUUCAAACUAAGCAAAGAACAGUCACCAAAGACAGAAGAAGAAAGGGAUCGUAUGAGCAAGGUGCCCUAUGCCUCAGCUAUUGGCAGCUUGAUGUAUGUUAUGGUGUGUACAAGGCCAGACAUUGCACAUACAGUGGGAGUUGUGAGCAGAUUCAUGAGUAGGCCUGGAAAGCAGCAUUGGGAGGCAGUCAAGUAGAUUCUAAGAUAUCUGAAGGGUUCAUUAGAUACAUGUUUUUGCUUCACAGGUGCAAGUUUGAAAUUGCAGGGUUAUGUAGAUGUUGAUUUUGUUGGUGAUAUUGAUAAUAGAAAGAGUACUACUGGGUUUGUUUUUACUCUAGGUGGUACAACUAUAUCAUGGGCUUCAAAUCUACAGAAGAUUGUUACUUUGUCUACUACAGAAGCUGAGUAUGUUGCAACAACUGAAGCUGGAAAGGAGAUGAUUUGGCUGCAUGGUUUCUUAGAUGAAUUGGGUAAGAAGUAGGAGAUGGGCAUUUUACAUAGUGACAGUCAGAGUGCAAUUUUUCAUGCCAAAAAUUCAGCUUUUCAUUCAAAGUCGAAGCAUAUACAAACAAAAUACCACUUUAUUCGUUAUCUUAUUGAAGAUAAACUGGUAAUACUUGAGAAGAUUUAUGGAUCUAAGAACCCGGCAGACAUGUUGACUAAGGGUGUCACUAUUGAGAAGUUGAAGCUGUGCGCAACUUCAAUUGGUCUUCUAGCUUGAGGACAGGAGCAUAAGUUGCAGGGAUGAGGGAUUGUUUCUUGGAGGAUAGCGGUUUGAUGUUGGUGAUUGAACUAGUCUCCAAGUGGGAGAUUUGUUGGGCUUUGUGGAGCCUAGUUUUGUUUGAUCCGGUUUGACGACCCGACCCAAAUAAUAUUGCAUGACUUUUUAAUGGGAGAUUUACUGAGGCCUGUUGGGCCUGUUUAGCCCAUUGUGGAACCACCUUUUGUAAUUAGGGUUUUUUAGUGUGGUGUGGUUGUCGUAUUAUAUAUAGAGAGAAAAUAUUGUAGCCGUCAUGGUUGUACUCUGUAUUCUUCCCUGAUAAUAGUGAUAUCCCUGUAACUCCGUGGACGUAGGCAUAUUGCCGAACCAUGUAAAUAUUGUCUUAUGCGUGUGAUUGUUUUUCUUUGGCGUGUGUUUUUCUCUAUUUUUUGUUUCUCAUAGAUUGAGAAUUCAGUUUAAUUCUCUACACAUACAUCAGAUCUAGGCCCACAGUCUUCUUCACCGGCCUCUCAUCCACUGGAGCUUGAGCUAACCUCUCUGCCACAACAUCAAAGCGUCCUUUGUUCCUUAAUUCAGUCACAACACCCAGCUUUUUACUCGCUUUCUCCCCGAGCUUGUAGCUAGACCGUCCAUUUCUAGGGCAACAAGUUCCAGGGCAUUUCUUCUGGAUUUCCUGAUAGCCUUUUUGUAGGAUCUCGUUGACUUCUAUUUCCAUGACUUGUACACUAUGAAGCCAGCCAUCCACUUCAUUGGUGCGCCUCAUUUGUCGUUGCUCUUCAAGAUCGACUCUUCCCUUCACAUCUUCAUGUACAUUCUUCAGCUCCUGCAUUGCAUUUCUCAAAGAGUUCAUAUUUUCCUGUAGAUCCUGGAUGUAGCUGACAUGCUUGGCUGUGCAAUUCCAUACGCGAGUGACAACAUCCAAGAUUGGGCUCACACAGUCCAUUCCCUGUGUUGAGAGAUGAAAUUCAAACAGGACAAACAUGAGAUUAUAAUAGGCAGUCUACACACGAUUAAAGUCAUUUGGCCACUGCUUCCCCUUCACAUUUUGGUUGCGAUUAGUCUGGGUUUUAACAUUUCAAUUAGGAAUUGGUUAACUUGCUUAUGGCUUUAAAUUCAAAAUUAAUUUGCAAAUAUAUAGAAUAUAUUGAAAUUUUUAACAUAAUCCAAGUAGAAAGAAAACUUCAGCUUUGGAUGAGAGAAUUUAUGAAUGCUUCCGAAAUUACCCCUUGUUUUUGCUGUCUAAUGGAAGAAUCUUGCUUGCAACCCAAAUGCAGAGGAGAUAAUGCUGGAAAUCACUUUGGAAUCUUCUUAAGAAUAUGCAAAGAGGGAACGAGAGAGACAAAAAUAAUAUAAAUGUUUAAACAUGACCUAGUCAUCUCAUGGGUGGGGGAAUCCAAAAGGAAGAAAGAGAGAAUCAAAUUGAAAAGGAAAUGGACAAGAAGAAAGAUAAUCAAAACCGAUGAAGUAAUCAAAAAGAAGAAAGAGAAUCAAAACUGAUGGAAUAAUUAGAAAGGAGAAUGAGAAUCAAAUCAAGAAGGAAAUGAACAUGAAGAAGCAUAAUCAAAAUCAAAAUCAAACCAAAUGAAAAGAAUUAAGAAAAGGUUAAAUAUGCUUUACCCUGUUGUCGCGUUUUUCACUUUGUUUUCUUAUGUUCAAAAUCCAAUACUUUACUCCUAAAUUUGUUAAAGAGUAACAGUUUGCCCCAAAUUAAUGACUCUAUAAAAUUAGAAAAGAGAUUAAUCUUUUUUGCACCCUAUUUCGACCAUAAGUACAAUCUUAAAUUGAACCAAUUUUCAAUUAACAACUAUAAAAUGGAAUUUUUGAAACACUUUAAAAAUAUGAUUGCGACUAAUUUUGAUUUUUUAUUUUGAGAAAUGUUAGUAUGAUUAUUUGUCAUUUUUGUAUGCAUUUGCGAAGUAUAACAACUUGAAAUUUUGGAUAGAAUGUAUUUUUUUUUUUACUUUUAUUUUUACAUUUUAGCCUUGUUUCUUUAUUUAACAAGUUGUUUAUUGAAUUCUUAACAAGUUUGAAGAGUAAAGUAUUAUUCUAUAAUAAGUUUUAUAAACAAAGUAUUAAGUUUUAUACGUGAUGGAGUGUAGAACACUUUAAAGUCUGUGGUAAAAUGUAUUUAACCCAUUAAAAAAUUAGUGCAUGUUAAGAUGUAUUUAUCAUUUUUAUUUUUUAUUUUUUGAAUAGAAAGUUUUAUAUAAAACGUAAGUACAUAGCUAGAGUAGCUGAAAAUAUUUUUAAAAAUUUAGGAAAGUAUUCCCCAAUUUUUUAAAUUUUGAAAAAAGUUUUUACAUUUUUUAAAAUUUUUAUAUAAGAAAGUAAAAAAUUAUAGUAAAUUUUGGUGCUUUUUUUUUUUUUUCCUUUGUGUAUGAAUUGUUAUACUUUGGUGAAUGCUCCGAACGAGCAUCACUAUUUGGACAGUCUGGGUGACGGGCUACAAUCUGUCAUGGCCAGUAAAAAAUAUCAUUGGUUUUAUGUUUCCAUUUCUUUUUCUUUGCUCCUUACAAAGAGAAUAGAAUAAGUGAUGAGUUGUCAAGGGAGGUUUGCUCAAAUCUCUAUCUACUUAUUUUCAUGGACGACAUAUUCUUGUUAAGGUUUUGACUUCUCUCUUCCACAAGCUAUUCUGCUUCAUCUCUCGAUCUAAAACUUUUGAUCUACUGUACUAAUUCAUAUUUUUUGAGAACAUAGACUAAAACCCGUCUAAAUUAUUUUAUUUUAAAAACAGGUUUAGGAAAGUAUUACCAAAAAUUUGUUUCAAAAACUAAUGAGUGUAACAAAUAUACAAGAGAUUUUCUCACUCAACUUUACACACAAUACAAGCAUGAAAGGAUUUUCUUUUUCUUUUUCUUUUUAGAUGAUUAUUUUGCAAUCCAUCCUAUGCACAUGUAGCGUCCAAUAAUUCAACAUUUACAAGAAGUUUCAGUUGAGUCAAAUGUUCAUCAAAAACUUGUCCUACAAAAGCAAGAGAGCAAAUCAAUUGGGACAUUUGUCUACUAUUUAAAUCAUAGAACAAAUUUGCUUCUAUGAAUAUGAGAAAGAACUUCAUUUCUUUCUUAAAUUUAUACAAUAAUGAAGUUAAUCUAAAAAUUGUCAUGAACAAUAUUUUAUUAACAUCAUCAACCAAAAUUUUUUCUCAAUCAUUGCAAUAGAUAUGGAAAUGUAAAGAAAUUAAGUUAAAUUUGAUUUGAUAUUUAUAAUUAGGCCAUAAACAAAGAAUUAAUCUAAAUUUGUUGGUCGGAGUUGAAUGCUGGAGCUAAAAUAAUAUAAAUGAAGUUUAAAAUAAAAAGUUAAGUUCAUUUGCCUUUCAUGAAGUUUUAGAUAAAUACACUUAACUCUCAUUGAUCUGAAAUUUUAUCAAAUAUCUAUUUUUAUUCGCCUCCUCUUUUACUAAGAAUAAAAGAGGUAUUUAAUGAAAUUCUAAACAAAUGACAUUUAUGUGUAUUAAGCCAAAAUCCAAUGGGAGGUAAGUGAAGUUAACUUUUAAAAUAAAUUCAUUAUUAACGACUUUAUGACUAAAUUAAAAAAAAAAUUGUAAUACUUUUUCACAGUUUAAGUUCCUUUGUGUAAAAUAAUUUUGAAAAUAAACAUAUAUGAAACAAUUUUGAAAAUUUUUUAUUGAAAAAUUCAAGAGACAAAAAAAUUAGGGUCUAUUUGAUUGCUGUUUUUGAAAACUGUUCUGGAAAACAAAUUUUGACAACAUAUUUUAGUAUUUUCAUAAACAAAUUGUGUUUAGGAACUAAAUUGAGGAAAAUAGUUUUUAUUCUAAAAAAAAAAAUGUUUGGUUGAGUUAAUAAAAAGUUUUUUAAAAUAAGUAAAACAAAAAACAUGUUUCAAUGUAGUUUUUUUUUAAUUAAUAAAAUAUUUUAUUCCAUUAACUUGAUAUUAUAAAUAUAUAAAUAAUUUUUAUAUGCACAAUUAAUUUAAAUUAAAAAAAAUAUUCUAUUUUGAAAUUUUUACACAAAUUAUAAUUUUUUUAAACAAAUCAUAACUUUGUAACCAUGUGUAAGUAUAUUAAUUUUAAUAAUUUAAGAAAGAAGAAAGGGCUUGUGGGUGGGAGUGUGGUGGUUGAGUGUAGCUCACUUCUGUGGAAACACAAAAAGCAAUUAGGAAAACAUAGAAAGAAGAAAGAGAAAACACAGAGAGCCAUCUAUUAUUUAAACAAUGAAAAAACAAUAAAAAAUAUAUUUUUAUUAUUAUAAAACAAUGGUUUUUGAGAAUAAGAAAAAUGCAAAAAACAAAAACAUACCCCAUUCUCAAACAUGUUUUUAGUGUUUUCUGUUUUCAAGAAUGUAAAACAAUUAUUGAAAACAACAACCAAACAGACCCUUAAUAUUUGGUUUUGGAAAAAAUUAGAAACAUAAAUAUAUAAAUUAAUAAAGAAUGAGUUGAUAUUAAUAAUGCAUCAAGUUUGUAGCCGGAUUAAAUGUUCUUCCUUAAUCUAUUUACAAACAUAAAAUUUAGGAUAGGAGAAUAGAAAAUAUGAGGAUCACGAAAAAAGGGUUAUUUUGUUUUUUUUUAUUUUUCGAAUGAGAAGACGAGGGAAGUUUUAUGGAUCCUUUCCUUCUAAACUAUGAUUAAAUUUAUUGAGAUGAGUAACGUUUGAGAUAAGAAAAGAAUUAAAAACAAAAGGGGAAAGAAAAGAAAAGAAAAAGGAAACCAUAUCAUAUGAAUUCCGAAAUGAAGUAAACAUUCUUAUCCACUUAUAGCAUAAAAACAUGAUCAUGAACAAACAUGAGACAUUAGAAAAUUUGUCUAAAUAUGUAAAAAAAAAAAAAAAAAAAAAAAGGAAAAAAGUAGAAUAACUGAGAGAACAUGAGAGAAGAAGGUAGUGGGGGGUGGGAGAAGAAAAAUGAGCAAUUUCUCUACCAUCCUCUCAUUUCUUCCACCAUAUAUAUAAUGAAGUAGGGAGUGAACAUAUGUUGAAUGUUUUCAUCACCCCACAACAACCCCUCCCACCACUCUGAUUCCCCUUUAAUUAUCUUUAAACUAUUUCUUGCACGGUUUGAAUCUAGUGACAGCUUCCUUAGGAGUACCUUAUUAGCUAUAGAGGGUUGUUUUGCUGCAAAGGGUCGUUUGUACAUACUAGUUAAGGCAAUCAUGAGGGACGUCUAUAUAUAUAUAUACACACACAUUGAAAGCAACCGGUUCUGAUAAGGUUAACCUAAUUGCAUCAAGGGCUUUGGGAUCCAUCAAAUUCCAUUUUGUUUCAUCCAUUGAAUCUUGCUUCUCUCCUAACAACAAAUACAAAUCUUUUUGGUAUAGAUAAUCCUUCAUGUGCAUCUUCCAUAAAUCAAAAUUUGUAUCAUCAAAUUUCUUGAUUUUGUAUGAUCCCAUUAUUUCUACUAAAAUUGUAAUUGGUCAAACACAUCAAGCUUAGGGUUUGUGAACCUUGCUUUGAUACCCGUUGUCAACCAAACAAUGCAUACACACAAGCGGAAAUAAAACAAAAAAAUGAGAUUUUUAAUGUGGUUCAACAAUCAAUGCGAUCUCUACAUCCAUGGGGUGCAUCACAUUAAAAAAUCCACUAAUCAAAGGAAAGAGGAGUAUAAUGAUGAAACUCUAAAAAAACUCUUUUCAUUUGCAAUCAUGCUCUCUAAAAAAACCUUAAAAAUAUAACAUGGUUAAAUAUACAAUGGGGGCAAAUUCGUCAUUCAUCACAUGCAAUGGGAGCUCAACCCCCAACAUCUUGAGUAAAGCACAAUAAAAUUGAUUUAGACUUCACAAUUCAAUAACAAUAGCUUACUUGAUGAUGCUAUCUCAUCUUGUUUUUUAUAUCUUUCAAUAUUCCAAGAGGAUUUUCAAAUUUUGAAUGAUACACUUAUAGACCUUUGGAUUGGAGAAGGUUUUCUGGAUGAAUUUGCAGCUUACAUGAAGCCCAUGAGCAGGGAUAUUGAAUCAUUGGAAGUCUAAAGUUUGCAUGUCUAUUUGAGGAAGGUCAACUUGAAUAUCAUAUCAAGAUGCAUGAUGUGAUUCAUGACAAGCGUUAUGGAUAGCUUCUGAAUAUGGUGGAAAGAAGAAUGAAAUCUUGGUACAAGAAGGCAUCAUUUUGAGUGCUGCUGAAGUCACAAAAUCGAAGGAGGCACAUAGAAUGUUGAUAUGGGAUAACAGUUUUGAACUCACUGCACGCACCCCAUUUUCCCAAUCUCCUUACUCUAAUCGUGAAAUCCGAUGUACAAGAGAUAAUAUUUCCCACUGGAUUCUUUCCGUUCAUGCCAAUUAUGAAAGUUUUGGACUUAUCCCAUUCUUAUCUAACUAAGCUACCUGUGGGAAUAGGUAAAUUAGUUAGUUUACACUACCUUAAUUUGUCAAAGACAUGUAUAAUUGAAUUGCCGAUGGACCUCAAAGAUUUGACAAAUCUAAGGUGUUUGAUACUGGAUUCUACUUACUCAGAAUAAUUCCUUCCCAGCUGAUAUCAAAGCUUUCGUCAUUGCAAUUAUUUAGUAUGUGCAUUGACGACAGUUUUUCUUAUAUUGGGGGUGAACACCUAGUAGGCGAGUUGGAUUGCUAGGAACACAGAUGAGAUUUCCAUCACCACACCUAGUCUUCUAUCCAUUCAAAAGUUAAUCAAUGAGCUCUUGGAAGUUGCAGAUGGGGAUAAGAUUAUGGUAAAUUGUAAUGGAACCCUUUAUGAGAGGGACUAUAACCCAAGAAAAUGCAAGGAAUGCUGCGGGGAGAAAGUUUGUUAGGCAUAUAAUCACGCAAGCAAGGAUAAACACGACAACCAAAAGGAUGAAAAUUCUCAUAAUGUGGAGAGUAGCCGUAUAAAAGUUCAAAGGGUGACUUACCACCAAGAAGUGGAGUGGGCAACCGGUUGAUGAUAUAAGUUGCAGUGCUGAAAGCGUCAACCCAGAAACGAGGAGAAAGGUGGGAGUGGAAGAGGAGGGUCAAGCCAGUCUCAGUCACAUGACGAUGUUUUCUCUCAGCACGACCAUUUUGAGCAGGUGUAUAUGGACAAGAGAGUUGAUGAUGUAUGCCAGAAGUACGUAAGUGAGCUUUGAAGCAAGUAUUAGUAAAUUCAGCACCUCCAUCACUUUGAAAAACCUUGAUACGAGCGAAAUGUUGGUUUUCCACAAAUUUUUUAAAUUGAAGAAAAAUAUCAAAGAAAUCAGAUUUAAAUUUCAAAGGAUAAAGCCAAGUAAAUCGGGAAUAAUCAUCAAUAAAAAUAACAUAGUAAAGAAAACCGGAAUUUGAUUUGAUGGGGGAAGGACCCGGAAGAUCACAAUGAAUAAGAUCUAACACAUGAGACGACCUAUGUUCAUUUCGGGAAUAAGGUAAUCGAUGAUUUUUCGCAAGUUGACAAGUACUACAUAGUGAGGGAGAAGGCAAUAAAGACAUAAGAGAAAGAUGUCCUUUUUUAUGUAAAAAAGAAAUUACAAAAUAAUUCACAUGACCUAGGCGAGCAUGCCAUAAAUCAUAUGAAGCACGUAGAGAUUUAUUUUUAAGGACAGAAAUAAAGGCAGAGUUGCCGCGCUCCAACACAUAUAACCCUCCAUCUCUUUUACCGGUCGCCACCACCCUUCCUGUUUGACGAUUCUGGACAGUAAAAAGAUUAUUAGUAAAUGUAACGGAGAGAGGAAAAUCAGACGUUAAUUUACUAAUGGAAAGAAGAUUUUUUAUGAGAUGAGGGACAACCAAUACAUCUAAUAAGUGAAUAUUUGGAACAGAAGAAAGAGUACCAGUGUGGGUAAUGGGUAGAGAGGCACCGUUUCCUACGAUCACAGAGUCCUUACCCAUGUAAUUUUUGGACUGAUCCAAAAUAGAUGGAUCGGUGGUCAUAUGAGCCGAAGCUCCGGUGUCCAAAAACCAGUCAGCAGCCUCGGGUCCAGAAAGAGAACAAGAUGUGUUGAAGGCCUCGGCAAGAUGAGCAGAGGAAUCAGUCCGAGCAUACCGUUGGUUGCAACGGUCAGCAUAAUGGCCCUCUAUGCGAGAAAUUUGGCAGCGAGGUGGUCGACGACCAUGACCAGAGUAGGUUCGUCCUCGGUUGGAAGAGUUGUUGUUGUGGGAAUGAGAACGACCUCGCUGGUUGUUACGGAAAGCAAAUGGAGUUCCAUGGGAAGUGGUGCGACUGCGAUUAGUGGCUGUGAAUGCCGCAGUGGUGGGUUCAGAAGACUCAAGGGAUCGCUGGAACAACUCAAAACUUUCAGCUUUAGAAACUAGAUCUGCAAAAUAGGGGAGAGGGGUGAGAGACAUUUGAGCUGUAGAAAAAUUGGAAAAAUCGGGGCCGAGUCCACGAAGGAACUAGUGCACUUUGUCAGUGUCCUCGACGGGUCUUCCAAUGGCAUGAAGCUGGUCACAAAGUGUUUUGAAGGUACGGGCAUACUCAGCAACGGGUUUGGUGCCGCGUUUCAUCAGCUGCAAGUCAUCCUUGAGUUGUAGUUAACGGGCUUUCGAAUGAUGGCUGAAUGUAUUCUCCAAUGCGAGCCAAACUUCACGGGCAAUGGAGAGACCAACAACGACAGCAAUGGCUUCCUCGGUGAGAGAGGAGAGCAAGAGACAGAGCAGCCGUUGAUCAGCUGCUUUCCAUGCCAGAUAUUUGGUGCUGAGUGUGGUAGAAGUUUCUGGUUCAAAACGGGGUGGUGGAACAAGAGUUCCAUCAACGUAGGCCAACAGGUCUUGACUCUCAAGGAGAGGAAGAAGUUGGCUUUUCCAGAGAAGAUAAUUGGAGGAAGAAAGCUUGAUGGUGAUCAUGUGGAUUAGAGUGUUGAAAGGAAGAAGAUGAGAGGAUUCAGAAGCCAUGGAGAAAAAUGGAUUGGGGUUGCUAAACCAGAUUGGCUCUGAUACCAUAAGAAUAUUUGUCAAACCACCACACUUGAGAAGGUGGUGAGAGUUUUUUAUUUAUAAUUAUUUACAGAAUAUUACAAAUCAAAUAAUAUCAAACUGAUUACAAAAGAAAUGGAAAGUAGGAAAUAAUAUCAAACUAAUUACAAAGGAAUAGCAUGUAAUCAAGGAUCAAAUAUGAUACAUAUGGUAAAUUGUAAUGGAAAGGCUAAGUAUCCUUAACAAAGAUGGCUAUUAAUCGGAUGCUGUGAAGGUUUGACCACACUCAAACUGUCAUCUUCACUACAAAGAAUGGAGAAUUUAAGUACGGUGUUUUGUAGUACUUUGGAAAAGAUAAAAGUAGAUCUGGGAAAUGAAGGGAGGGAGGGGCCCGUACCAGAUAAUAUCAGAUACUCGAAGUUCCACAACCUUCUCAGGUAACCAUUGAAUUUUCCCAGAGUUGUUGGACUUGACAUGGCUUAUUUAUGCCCCAAGCCUACAGGAGCUUUAUGUGCAAGAGUGCUCAUCAAUGGAGCGAGUUAUGCAUGAUGACCAUGAAGUUUCAGAUAAGAAAAGCAUAUUCUCUAGACUCACAGCUUUAUGUUUGAGGAAUCUACCAAAUCUAAAGAGAAUCUAAGGGUGGGCCUUGGCAUUUCCUUCCCCGAAAGAGGUUCAUGUGACAGGCUGCCCAAAUCUGAGGAAGCUGCCAUUGGAUUCCAACAGCUCAACCAGUACCUUAAAGCAAAUUACAGGGGAAUCAAGCUGGUGGGAGGGAUUGCGGUGGGAGGAUGAAUCCUUAAACCAAACUUUCACUCUGUCUAUUGUAUUUGACGUUUGAUCUGGCCUAACGGCAUGGUGAUUGAAGAAGGAAGAUGGCGGAGAAGCGGCACCUAGAGUCAUAUAUAUAUCACGGAGUGAUCAUGGUCCCUGACGCCCAGUUACUCUCUUCGGAAAUGCUCUUCCUAGAUGGAUGUUAUUAUGCAUGUGUGUUUCAUCAUCUUUGUUUACGAAUUAAGACAAAUGUUAUUACUGUCUUCUUUGAACAGUUCUUUCACUAGCACGGGUUAACCUUCUAACUCACUCAACCUGCACAAGUCAGUGUCCUACUCCAUAACAUAACAUUAUUUUCAACAUUUGUCAUAAAUCGAUACCAAAUCUUUACAUUUUUAGGGAGGCAAACAGGUUGCACCUUUCAUCAUAAAAAACAGGACGAGCAUAAGGAGAAAUUACAGAGAAAAUACAAAACUCAAUUAAUAUCCAUGAUACAACAAGUGUAUAGAAGAACGUAUUUAAGUCUUUCUUUAGCAACCUCAAUCUCUAAGCUGGACAACUUCUUAUGUAUUUGUAAUUUUGUAACACUACUCGUCUUCCAUGGAAGCAUAGUUUCGGAUCACACCAUCCAAAGAAGCCACAUGAAAAGCUAGUCUUCCAUUUAGGACAACCACAUGAUCUUCUUCGAUUAUUAGCAAACGUCCAAGAUGUCUUAAAUUGAGCUGUCAAACCACAGUUGCAGAUUAUGUUCCAAUAUCAAUCACACAAAUUUCCAGUUAUUUUAAACGUGAUAUCUAUUAAUUGCAAAAUACGAUAACCUUUGAAAUCAACAUAUGGCAAACAUCCUAAAACCCACCGCACUAAAAUCCAUGAAACCUACAAAAUCCAUAAAAAAAUUGAAACGUAAGAACUUACCUUCACAGUUUGAGGUCACAGCAUGAGAAAGAGGGGACGAAAUUCCAUAGUGAGGUCCCAUUAUCACAAGAGGAAUUAUUUAGUGCCAUAAGCAUAUAAAAGAAUCUCGUCUUUCAUUGCUUAAGAAUAUUGAUAGACUAAAAAUAAGAAUGAAGAUGUAUAUAAUGCUGGAGAAAGCAACCUUUUAGUAUAGUAGUAUUCUAUAUAUAAGUGAAAUAUCAGAGUGAUUAUUCUCCUUUAAAAAGAAUCUUAUCCCAAUCAAACCACCUUUUUUUUACCUUAUCGGAUACUCAUUAAGAAGGAGAGUACUUCCGGUUCAAGGCUUUGACUUCAUACUCGCUUACACCCACGCCCUUAGACCCCUAAAAAGGCACUUAAGACUGCUUAGAAGGAAUUAGCAUUCGGUAUAAAGGAAAGGGAUAAAAAUAUACUUCUUACCUUUCAACUCCUGGCACUAGGGGGAACUACAGGUAGUGGUAUGAAGAUUAAGACUAGUUAGUAUACUGGUACACUCUGAUAAUUGAUCCCUGGAUUCCUGCAAUGAGAAUGAUUAUAAUGAUUAUGUGACCAAGUUUUUAGGCUGAUAUCAAUCUAAGACUCUUCUUUGUCAUAUGUAUUCUACUGGUUGUAAUUUUUUUACUUUCAUAUAUGAGUUUUUUUUUUCCUUUUGAUCCAAAAUCAUAACUUCUUUCUUUCUCCAUAACUCAGAAGCAAAGAAAGAAACUAUCCAUGUGAGGCUUUAUAGAGGUGAGUGGCACGCGACUUUGUUCCAUUAGCAUUUGACAAAAAGAAUUAUAAAAUUCUUAUCCACUUCGUUGAGAAAAGCAUCAACGAUGACCAAAUUUCAGAAAUUUGAAAUUGGUCGCUCCCACACAAAAAAGAGAAGGAGAGAGAGAGAGAGAGAGGAAAGGAAAGGAAAGUACCUAUAAGAUCAUGGAAGAGAAAGGUUAAUCUUGGAAGUAGUGAUUGAAAGUGUUCUUAAUGGUUUCAUUCUCCCACUGCAGCCUAUCCCACCACCAUCUUCUUCCUUUAAUUGUCUUCAAGCUGUAGGUGUCACUGUUGGAAUCCAACGGCAGCUUCCUUAGGAAUGGGCAAUGUUCCACCGAGAGGUCUGUCAGGGAAGUGAAUGGCAAGGCCCGUCCACAGAUGCUCUUUAGAUUAGGUAGAUAAUCCAAUUUGAGUACCCUGAGUCUUGAGAAUAUGCUCAGAUUUUGUGAAACUCCAGUCUCAUCUCGGAUCACUUCUUUCAUGGAAUAACAGUCAGUUACUUCAAGAACUUCAACGCUUGGGAUGUAAAUAAGCCAUGUCAAGUUUAACAAGUUUGGGAGUUGAUAAAUAAUUAUAUUACAAAGGCUGUGGAAGUUUGAGCCUGGGAUAUAAUCUACCACAAAUCCCCGUCUCCUCUCUUGUGUUGGAUCUACUUUUAUCUCUUCCAAAUCUCGACAUAUCCGUAUUUCAAGCGUCUGUAGAUGUUUCAUUCUUGGCAAGUGGAGUAAGGCCACACACUCCAGGUUCCCAAGGGUUAACCACUUCAUGGCAUUCUGUAGCUUUUGGGAGCUCAAUAAUAUUUGGAAAGAUGGAGCACCUUCUAUGGGAAAAGAGACCUCAUUUAUGUGUACCAAGGAUUCCAUCUCCUCUAAUAAUGCUCUGUUUUCAUCCUCCCAUAAAUACCUAGGUUUAUAAUCAUAAUCCUUGGCUUCCAACUCCUCGAAUAAAGCAUGACAAUCCUUUGAUAAAUAAUAAGCUUUCAACUCCUCAAAGAAUGCUUUAUUAUCAAAAUCAACUUUAUUAUUCUCCCAUGAAUCAUUAGCAUCCUCCAGGUUGAAUGAAUAAUGGGCUUCCUCUUCCUUCCAUUCAUGAACUCUUCUUAAGCUAAAUAAUUUCAAUGAUGAGAGAUUUAAUACUACUUCCUUGGGAAUUAUCUUAAGACAUGCCAUCCAAUCCAAUAGUAGACACCUUAGACUUGUCAAAGACUUGAGCUCCAUGGAUAAUUGGCUUAGGUUUGUUUUUGACAAAUUGAGAUAUUGUAAGGUAACUAAUUUGCCAAACCCAUCAGGUAACCGACUUAUGGAAGUGUGUGACAAAUCCAAAACUUUUAUUGCCGGCAGCAUGAGAUGAAAGAAUCCACUUGGAUCUACUUUCACAUUCUUAACAACGAAGGUUAAGAGAUUGGGAUAAGUUGUUGGCACCAUGAGGUAUUUCAUGCUAUUACUCCACAAUGAUAUCUGUUGCGUCUCUUGCCAAUUUGAAACUUGAUGGGCUUCCAAGGUAUCAUCUUCUACUACCAAAAUUUUGUUCUUGUUGCCACUAUAUUCUGAAGCUAACCAUAAAGCCAUAUCACGAAUAACAUCAUGCAUCUUGACUUGAUUGUCUUUAACACUCUCAAAUAGACACACUACCUUUAGAUGCUCAAUGAUGUUGCGCCCCUGGUUCUGUGCUUCAUGUAUGUUGUCAAAUUCAUCGAAAAACCCCUCUCCAAUCCAAAGGUUUAUAAGAUCAUCAUUCAUGAUUUCAUAAUCCUCUUGAAAUAUAGCAAGAUAUAGAAAACAAGACUUGAUGGUGUCAUUUUUCAAGUUAUCAUAACUGAAUUUUAGAAUCGGAAAUACAUGAUCUCCCAAACCUGAAAACUUUGAUGGAUAAGUCUUCAACAUUUGUAUGGCUCGCUCCCAUUCUUGUGGUGUGCUCUUGCCGACCAUAGCUCUCCCAAUAGUGAUGAGUGCAAGUGGUAAACCUUUGCACUCUUUAGCAGCAAUUUCGGCAAACUGGGGUAUAUCUGGAUGUGAAUUUAGAGUGGUCUCUCCAACCUUCUCCUUGAACAAAUUGAUGGCCUCCUCUUCUGUCAAACACUCAACCUUAAUGCUUUUUUGAGCUUCCAUAUCGCGACAAACAUCCAGAGAACGGGUUGUUAAUAUUACUUUGGACUUGUUUUGGGAAUUAGGAUAAGGAACCCCCACUUUUUGGAGAUCAAGCCGCUCCCAUACAUCAUCUAGCAGCAUCACAAACCUUUUUGCCUUCAAGACAUUGAAAAUUGCUAUUGCUUUUUCAUCCUCAGUUCUGUUUCUCCAUCUAUUAUCCGGGAUGUCUAACUUGUUGCGAAUGACUUCUUGUACUUUUUCCACACUUGCUGGCCUGGAUACUACGACCCAAAUGGCCACUUCAAAGUCAUUGCAUGUUUUGAAGUACUCAUUAUUGAUUUUGGUCAUGAUGGUAGUUUUCCCGGCACCCCCCAUUCCGUACAACCCAAUAAUUCCCAGCUCCUCAUCUUGGAUGCAUCUGCAAACCUCUGUAAACAUCAGAUCUAAGCCCACAGUCUUCUCCAUCGGCCUCUCAUCCACCGGAGCUUGAGGUAACCCAUCAGCCACAACAUCAAAGCGUCCCUUGCUCCUUAAUUCAGUCACAGCACCCAGCUUUUUACUCGCUUUCUUCCCGAGCUUGUAGCUGGACCGGCAGUUUCGGGGGCAACAAGUUUCAGGGCAUUUCUUCUGGAUUUCAUGAUCGCCUUUCUCCAGGAUCUCGUUGACUUCUAGUUCCAUGGCUAGGACGCUAUGGAACCAGCCGUCCACUUCAUUUGUGCGCUUCAUUUGCCGUUGCUCUUCAAGUUCAACUCUUCCCUUCACAUCUUCAUAUACAUUCUUCAGCUCCUGCAUUGCGUUUCUUAAAGACUCCAUAUUUUCCUGCAGAUCCCUGAUGUAGACUGCAUGCUUGGCUGUGCAGUUCCAUACGCGAGUUACAACAUCCAAGAUUGGGCUCACACAAUCCAUUCCUUGCCUUGAGAGAUGAAAGAAACAAGAGGUGAGAUUCAAGAAAAGAAGAGAAAGUGGGAGAGCAGAGAAGACUUGUGGUUGUCGAAAACAGUUCAAUCUCUCCGAUUAAGGAAUUCCAAUAUGGGUGAUCGCAUUAUUGCUAGUUACACUGUUGGAGGACACCCCUGACCCCACCUCCGACAUAACUUCAAUAAUUUUAUUCAAAGGCUGCUUUUCCACGCAAUAUCAUUUUCUUUUCAGAGUGUCGACUUUACUUUCUGAAAAGACAAGGAAGUUUCAUAUCAAGAUCCCAUAGUGUUUCCUGUUAUGAGUCCCUGGUCACAUUCUGGGUGUGAUUAAUUAGUCAGAGUUUUAGCUCUUCACUUGUGGUUGUCAAAAACAGAUCAAUCUCCCUGAUGAAGGAAUUCCAAUUCGCAGUGUGGACUUUACUUUCCAAAACGAAAAAAAAGUUUGAUGUCAAGAUUCCAGAGUGUUUCUUAUUUUGAGUCCCUGAUCACAUUAUGGAUCUGAUUCGUCUGGGCUUUAGCAUUUCAAUAUAUCAGACUGCUCCUCAUCCCUUUGAAGUGAUUGAUCAAGGGAGGCUAUUGGUUAUUAAUGGAGCUGAAUAUGCAAUCCUUUGGAAGGCGUUGUGCUGUGCAAUGACAUCUGAUAAUGGUGAUUAGUGGCCCACAAUCUUGAUUAAUGGUGGCGAAAGAGAUAAGGCCACUACCAUUCUCCUGUCCCACAUUACUUCAAUAAUGCAAAGUAACGAGUACUCCACUACUCACCAGUUUCAUUAAGCUUCUAUUCCAAAUCUAUUAUUUCCCCUUACCUACUCUGCUUCAACUAUCAUAUUUAAUCAAGUAUUUAAUAAUUUAAAAUCAAAUUAUUAAUUAUUUGUUUCAUUUAUGAUCUCCAUAUCAUAUUAUGAUGGAUCAGGUCACCCACAAAAACGAAGAAAUAUGAUUGAAAACUGAAAUUACUAAGAGAUUUCUACAAUGAAAUGUGAACAAAUUAAGUGAAAUUUGAAUUGAUCUUCAAAAAUAGGUUCCCAUGAACAAAAACUAACCCAAAUUUAUUGGAGCAAAUGUCCGAGCUAAAAGAAUGUAAACAAAGUUGAAAAUGGAUUCACCAUUACCAUCUUCAAGGCUUCAAGAAUAAAAAUUAAAAUUUUCAUAAUAAUGCUUUAAAGCAAGCAUUUUUUCAUAGUUAUGUGAAAUAAUUUUUAAAAUAAACAUGCAUGGGACCAUAUAGUUGUAAUUCAGUUUAAUUGGAAAAAAAAAUCAGGAGACAUAAAUAUUAAGUCUUUUUGCUUAAGAUGUUUUCUAUUUUAUUUUCAAAGAAAAAAGAAAAUAAAUUGGAGAAUAUUGUUAGGGAUCCAUCUACAUUAUUAAAGUGUAUUUUUUUCUAUAGGUAUCGAAAGACAUCAUUGAUAAGGUGGUGACACAUAUACAUCUUCAAAUCGGUUUUUUUAUUUAAUUAUUCUAAUCAUAUUUAUUUAUAUUUUUAUACAUUAAUCUCAUUUAUUUGUACUCUUAUUUGAUGACCUUGAUUUUACCAUACACAUUCAAUAGUUUAGAUUUAGAGUUCAAUAGGUAUAUAUAUUAUAUGUUUGGAUACUUAGUUUCUGUUUCUAUUUUUUAGGAAAUUGAGUUAUAAGUGAAAAUAAUAUUUUGAUGUUUUUGAAAAUUUUUAAAUAAAAUGAAAACAGUCUUCUCAUAAGUAAAAGGAUAAAAAUAAAUAAAAUAAUUUAAAGUUUGAGAUACUUCCCAACAUUGAUUGUUGGGUGCUUCAAAUUCCUUUUGCGUUUGAAUUGCUUUAUUUUAUGUUUUUUUUUCAUUAAUACGUUUACUUUGAUACCUUUGUUGACACAACAAUUGGUCCCCAAGCCCAGGUUAAAAUUUGUGAAAAGCUCAAAAGGAACACAAAAACACAAUACAGAAGAAAUUUUAGUUGAAUGUGUAGUCAAUUGUCCUCUUGUAAAGAAGUGAUAGAAAGAUUCAAUUAUGUUUUUCAUCUUCGCAUUUUUUAAAGAUUUAAGGAUAUUUUGUAGAUUAAAGAUAGAAACUGCUUGUUUGAGUUUUAUUCUGAUUCACCUAUAUUUAUUUAAUAAAAUAAAAAAGUAAAUAAAAUUUCUAUCGUCUAUGUAUGAAGUCAAUUUUUUUAUAAAAAAAAAUCAUAUCAUGACCGGUUUUAACAAGAUCAUUAAUCUAUAUCUAAAAUCAUCAAAUUUUCUAAAUUAUAUAUCAUUAUAUAACCUUAAUUUCUAUUAAAAAGAUAAUAAAUUAGUAUGAGUGAAAUAAAAUUCUAACAUUCCAUCAACGAUAAAUACAGCUAAAAAUAGUUAAAAGAAGCUAAAAAUUUAAAUUGUUCCAUCAUUUUAUCUUUAAUAAUAUAAUAGUGAACAAAUGAUAAAAUACAAAUGUAUCAAUAUUUUGUAUUUUAUAAAGUAAAAAGUGAUUAAUAUUUUAUUAUUAAAAAAGAUCAAUCAUAUAUUAAAGAGAGAAAUAUAAUUUUAUUAUUUAUUUAUUUAUUCUUUCUUUAUUAACUUUAUAUUUUACAAUUUUUAUUCACAUUUUAUUAAAUUUACAGCUUUAUGAUUUUGUUGUUUGGUGAUGAUAUAAAUAUGUGUAUAUAUAAGCAUAAUCAAAGUCAACAUGGCAUAAAUGGUUAUGGUCUUAAUCCUCUGCUUGUUUGAAUUAUUUAAUAGCAAAUUGAACUAAUGAGGCCCAAUUUCAAAUUUCCAUUUUCUAUGGCACAUAAUAUAUUUGGAUUACUUAUUAGAAAUGAAAAUAAAAAUAAAAUAUUCAUUUUCAUUGAAAUCAAAACACAUUCAUAUACGAUUCUCUUUUUCACAAGGUAUCUAGCUUCACCUCUAUUUUCAUUUCAAUCCUCACACAUCAAACAUUCCCAAACAGUUUCAAGGGCAAGGGUAUUGAGGCAUGCUCAUUUCCUAUGGUGUUAUAAUAUGAACUAAAAUUCUCUAAAUAUGUCAUGAGAUGGAAGGACAUACGCUCGAACCCCUUUAAUGUAUGUGCUUUCAAAAACUAGAUUGGUGAAGUAUUAACUAAAAUUUAUUUCAAAUCCCAAGUUGAGAAAUUGUCAUUCUAAAUACAAACACUCCAAUCCAUUAAAGCGAAUAAAAAUUAUAGUAGCUUCAUGGUAUACAAUCCAAAUAUACAAGAGUUCUUUUCACUCAUCUUUACACACAAUAUAAGCACAAAGGAAUUUUUAUUUUAUUUUUUGUCUCUUUGGAUGAUUAUUUCUGCAAUCCACCAUGUGCACACUUAGCAUCCAGAAAUUCAAACAUUUGCAAGAAGUUUCAGUUGAGUCCGACCAUUCUUCAAAAUCUUAUCCUACAAAAACAAAAACAUAAAUCAGUUGGAUCAUUGGCCUAUAAUCUAAAUAAAAAAAAAUUAAGUGAAUCUAAAUAUUUAACUUACAUGCAAACAACAAUUCAUGAACGUUAUCAAUCAUAACAAAUUCUAAUAAGUAGUUGUAAAGGAUACGUGUAAACUAGAGUUAUUUACAAUUUAUAUAAUGGAAAUGUAAACAAAUGAAUUCAAAUUUAAAGUAAUAUUCAGAAAUAUGUACCCAUAAACAAACAACUAAUCCAAAUUCUUUAGAAUUGUAUGCCCAAAUUAAGAUGAUGUAGACAAAGUGUAAAAUAAGUUCAUUUUUAACAUUUUCAUAAUAAUUCACCAAAGUAGGUAUUUUCAUAGUCUAAAUUCCUCAAGAGUAAAAUAAUUUUGAAAAUAAACAUGCAUGUAAGAGAUGGUUUUAAUUAAGUUUCAGUGUAAAAAAAAUAAAAAUAAAUAAAUUCAAGAGACAUAAAUAUUAAGUCCUUGUCUCUAGAAAAAAUAAUAAAUAAAAAGAUCGAGAUUAUAUUAAUGAUGCAUCAAGUAUGUUAUUGGAUCCAAAAGUUAUGUCUUAAUCUGUUUUACAAACAUGUAUUUUAGGAUAUGAAAGAGAAAAUAGGAUCAACAUUAAGAAAAGUUAUUUUGUUUGGAGUUUUAUUAAUAGUUUCUUUUUUAAACUAUAACUAAAUUCAUUGGGGUGAGUUAUGCGUGAGGUAAGGAAAAAAACUAAAACAAAAGUGGAAAUAAAAAUAAAUUUUAUCCACUUAUAACAGAAAAACAUGAACAUGAAGACACAUGAGACAUUUGAAACUUUGUCCCAAAAAAGAAGGCAGUACCUGCGAGAGGAUGGGAGAAGAAGGUCAUCUUCUCAUUUCUCCUCCGGAUCGCAUUUAAGUAGGGAGUGAAAGUGAGUUGAAUGGUUUCAUCCUCCCACUGCAACCCUCGCCACCACUCUGAUGUCCCUUCAAUUAUCUUUAAACUGUUUCUUGCACUGUUUGAAUCCAAUGGCAGCUUCCUUAGGUUUGGGCAUUUCGUCACACGGAGGGUUUUCAAGGAAGGAAAUGGCAAAGCUCGUCUGCUGAUGCUCCUUAGAUUUGGUAGGUAAUGCAAGGUCAAACCUUCAAGUCUUGAGAAUAUGCCAAGAUUUUCAGGGACCUCACUCGCAUCACCUAUCACUUCUUUCAUGGAUUCACAUCUAUGUACAGAAAGUAGUUCAAGACUUGGGAUGUAAAUAAGCCAUGUCAAGUCCAACAACUUUGGAAGUUGAUCAACAAAUACACUUCGGAGGUUGUAGAAAAUUGAGUUUGGGAUAUAAUUUGCUACAAAUCCCCAUCUACCGCUCUCAUUUUCUAGAUUGACUUUUAUGUCUUGUAGCUCCCCACAUCUACAUAUUGCAAGGGUACAUAAAUGUUUGAUUCUUGGCAAUUGGAGCAUCCUCAUACCUUCCAAGUUCCAAAGGUGUAAAUACCUCAUAGCAUUCAGUAAUUUUUGGGAGUUCAAUAACUUUUGGAAAGACAGAGCACCUACAAUGGGCAAAGAGACCCAAUUUAUGUGCUCCAACCCUUCUAACUCCUCUAAUAAUGCUUUAUUAUCCUCAUGUAAAUAAAUAGCCUUAUCAUCCUUCCUUGAAUAAUCGGCUUCCUCCUCGUCUGUGGGUGACGAAAUAUCUGACAUGAUAUAUUUAAUUCUUAUGCUAAAAACUCUCAACAUUGAGAGAUGUGAUAUUACUUCCUUAAAAAUUAUUUCAAGACUACCAUCUAACAGCAGACAUCUUAGUCUUUUCAAAGUUGCAAGCUCCGCAGACAAUUCUUUUAGAUUUGUCUUUGACAAAUUGAGAUAUUGCAGUGUAACUAAUUUACCAAUUCCAGUAGGUAAUUUAGUUAUUCCAGCAUUUGACAAGUCCAGAACUUUUAUAACCGGCAUGAAAUGGAAGAAUCUACUCUCUAAUGUUUUCAAGCCUCUACUCUCAAAUUUUUUCAAGCCUCUACUCCGAGCAAUUAAAGUCAAGAGA
RNAcentral lists this long non-coding RNA (29440 nucleotides) under Vitis vinifera (wine grape). Its description in RNAcentral is "long non-coding RNA (VVIN_LNC002757)". Lineage: Eukaryota; Viridiplantae; Streptophyta; Magnoliopsida; Vitales; Vitaceae. The record is from RNAcentral.